RNAcentral lists this ribosomal RNA (1020 nucleotides) under Vibrio alginolyticus. Its description in RNAcentral is "bacterial SSU rRNA". It matches the Rfam family "Bacterial small subunit ribosomal RNA", at positions 88 to 1104 of the family's 1533-position model. The record is from RNAcentral. Lineage: Bacteria; Pseudomonadati; Pseudomonadota; Gammaproteobacteria; Vibrionales; Vibrionaceae.
GCGUCGAGCGGCGGACGGGUGAGUAAUGCCUAGGAAAUUGCCCUGAUGUGGGGGAUAACCAUUGGAAACGAUGGCUAAUACCGCAUGAUGCCUACGGGCCAAAGAGGGGGACCUUCGGGCCUCUCGCGUCAGGAUAUGCCUAGGUGGGAUUAGCUAGUUGGUGAGGUAAGGGCUCACCAAGGCGACGAUCCCUAGCUGGUCUGAGAGGAUGAUCAGCCACACUGGAACUGAGACACGGUCCAGACUCCUACGGGAGGCAGCAGUGGGGAAUAUUGCACAAUGGGCGCAAGCCUGAUGCAGCCAUGCCGCGUGUGUGAAGAAGGCCUUCGGGUUGUAAAGCACUUUCAGUCGUGAGGAAGGUAGUGUAGUUAAUAGCUGCAUUAUUUGACGUUAGCGACAGAAGAAGCACCGGCUAACUCCGUGCCAGCAGCCGCGGUAAUACGGAGGGUGCGAGCGUUAAUCGGAAUUACUGGGCGUAAAGCGCAUGCAGGUGGUUUGUUAAGUCAGAUGUGAAAGCCCGGGGCUCAACCUCGGAAUAGCAUUUGAAACUGGCAGACUAGAGUACUGUAGAGGGGGGUAGAAUUUCAGGUGUAGCGGUGAAAUGCGUAGAGAUCUGAAGGAAUACCGGUGGCGAAGGCGGCCCCCUGGACAGAUACUGACACUCAGAUGCGAAAGCGUGGGGAGCAAACAGGAUUAGAUACCCUGGUAGUCCACGCCGUAAACGAUGUCUACUUGGAGGUUGUGGCCUUGAGCCGUGGCUUUCGGAGCUAACGCGUUAAGUAGACCGCCUGGGGAGUACGGUCGCAAGAUUAAAACUCAAAUGAAUUGACGGGGGCCCGCACAAGCGGUGGAGCAUGUGGUUUAAUUCGAUGCAACGCGAAGAACCUUACCUACUCUUGACAUCCAGAGAACUUUCCAGAGAUGGAUUGGUGCCUUCGGGAACUCUGAGACAGGUGCUGCAUGGCUGUCGUCAGCUCGUGUUGUGAAAUGUUGGGUUAAGUCCCGCAACGAGCGCAACCC